GUUAGUGGCGGACGGGUGAGUAACGCGUGAAUAACCUGCCCUGUACCGGGGGACAACAGUUGGAAACGGCUGCUAAUACCGCAUAAGCGCACGGUUCCGCAUGGGACAGUGUGAAAAACUCCGGUGGUACAGGAUGGAUUCGCGUCUGAUUAGCCAGUUGGCGGGGUAACGGCCCACCAAAGCGACGAUCAGUAGCCGGCCUGAGAGGGUGAACGGCCACAUUGGGACUGAGACACGGCCCAAACUCCUACGGGAGGCAGCAUG
This 264-nucleotide ribosomal RNA is filed under the name uncultured bacterium. RNAcentral's name for it is "partial 16S ribosomal RNA". It matches the Rfam family "Bacterial small subunit ribosomal RNA", at positions 91 to 353 of the family's 1533-position model. The record is from RNAcentral.